Molecule: ribosomal RNA, 253 nt
Filed under: uncultured bacterium
Lineage: Bacteria
Description: partial 16S ribosomal RNA
Rfam family: Bacterial small subunit ribosomal RNA
Source: RNAcentral
UACGUAGGUGGCGAGCGUUGUCCGGAUUUACUGGGCGUAAAGGGCGUGCAGGCGGUCUGCUAAGUUUGGGGUGAAAGCUCCCGGCUCAACUGGGAGAGGUCCUUGAAUACUGGCAGACUCGAGGGAGGUAGAGGAGAGUGGAAUUCCCGGUGUAGUGGUGAUGUGCGUAGAUAUCGGGAGGAACACCUGUGGCGAAGGCGGCUCUCUGGGCCUUACCUGACGCUGAGACGCGAAAGCGUGGGGAGCGAACCGG